This 67-nucleotide transfer RNA is filed under the name Hylomyscus parvus. RNAcentral's name for it is "tRNA-Pro". The record is from RNAcentral. Lineage: Eukaryota; Metazoa; Chordata; Mammalia; Rodentia; Muridae.
CAAGAAGUAGUUUAAUUAGAAUAUCAGCUUUGGGUGUUGAUGGUGGGGAGAUACUCCUUCUUCUUGA